AAUGGCUGCAGUAAUUUGACUGUACAAAGGUAGCAUAAUCAUUAGUUUUUUAAUUUAAAGCUUGUAUGAAAGGUUGGACGAAAUAAAAUCUGUCUCUUUUUAAUAGUAUAUUAGAAUUUAAUUUUUAAGUUAAAAAGCUUAAAUUUUUAUAAAAGACGAGAAGACCCUAUAGAGUUUUAUAAUUUUUUUAAAGUAAUUAAUUUGGGUUUAUUAAUUUUAUUUUCAAAAAAUUAUUUUAUUGGGGUAAUAGAAAGAUUUAAUAAAUUCUUUUUUUAAAAAAUCAUUAAUAUAUGAAAAUUUUAUGAUCCAUUAAAUUUUGAAUAUAAGAUUAAAUUACCUUAGGGAUAACAGCGUAAUUUUUUUUAAGAGUUCAUAUCGAUAAAAAAGUUUGCGACCUCGAUGUUGGAUUAAAGAUUAAUUUAGGGGUAGAAGUUUAAAUUUUUGGUCUGUUCGACCAUUAAAUCUUUACAUGAUCUGAGUUCAAACCGGUGUAAGCCAGGUCGGUUUCU
RNAcentral lists this ribosomal RNA (509 nucleotides) under Orotrechus giordanii. RNAcentral's name for it is "partial 16S ribosomal RNA". The stretch from base 344 to 502 matches the Rfam family "Bacterial large subunit ribosomal RNA", at positions 2473 to 2632 of the family's 2925-position model. Lineage: Eukaryota; Metazoa; Arthropoda; Insecta; Coleoptera; Carabidae. The record is from RNAcentral.